CCCCCAGGCUUUUUACAUACCAGAGGCUGCCAGGAACUCCAGGAGCUUCUGAUGAGUGACUAGACUCAUUCAGGUUCAGCAGGAGCCACCCAGGGUACCCUCAGAAGCCUUAGCCAGGACAGCAAAGCUCUGGAGAAUGUAGAGAGAACUCAGUAAAUGUAGAGAGAGCUGGUAGACACCAAAUGCCUUCCAUGCCUGGACUCACAGCAACAUCAUCAGGAAGGAGUGAUACUUUGCCUGUUUCACAGGAAAAUGAGGUCAAGCGACCACACUAAGGUGGCACAGAACCUUGGUCUACCUUCAUCCAAAGCUCAUUCCGACAGUCGUCAUACUUGAUGCAGCAAGUGCUAAGACGCAUGAUGUCAGCUGGGUAAUGCUAGCCUGAGAUGCCGGAACUCAACUCGCCACUUUCCAACUAAGGAUCUCUUGAACUCACUGAUCUGCCUAUUCGCUGCAAUCCGCUUUUUAUAACAGAGAGAUAGGCCAACUGCUGGCCCCACACCAUUUCCUCCGAGAAGACUGAUGGGCACUGAAGAAGCUUCAUCUCGAGUCAGUGACAACGCUAGUCACUGAGCAACCCUGCCCUUCACCUCAACUACUACAAAGUAUUCAAGACCUUGGGCAAGAGGACAAUGGAAUCGACUUUCUCGGCGUUGCUUGGGCCAACGGAUUCUUGUAAGUUCCAGGGAGCCGAUUCAGAUCCAAACAGGUCAGCUUCACUCCAGGUAAUAUUCAAUCUUUCCCUGGUCCCAGGAUUCCCUUCCCUCAUAUUAGGACUCCUCGGGAACCCCUCCCUCAUCUUACAAUCUUCCCCUCAAAUGACAGGACCUAAGAAAAAAAAUUUUUCUAAACUUAACCUUGUCCUCUGCUCUGUCAACACCUUGCCAGGUCUAAGAGACGCCAGGUAGUUCCAUAUAGCCUGGACUACAAUGAAACAACCAGCUUCCCCAGGACGUGGCAGCACCCCAAACUUCUCGGGUCCCCCAAAGAUGGUCAACGCCCCCCACGUCAGCAGGAAGCAGUCUUAAGAAUUCGACGCCCUUAUUCCUUAACCUGCCAUGUCUAAACACCCCACCUUUUUUAAAUAAUAAGUAGAGGUGGGAAUGAAAGGUUCAGGCAUUAUGCUGGCCUGCCCCUGUUACCUGGUGAAACAGGCAGUACCCUGGUCAGCCCAAGGUUCCAUGGGAACUAAGUCUGCACACAGGUGCAGAGGACCCCUUUAAAAGAUAAGUCCCUGCCCCUUUACGCUCUCUCUCUCUCUCUGUUCCCGUUUUCUCUGUUUCUCUGUUUCUCUGUUCCCGCUCUCCCUGUCUGUUCCCGUUCUCUGUCUCUCUGUUCCUCUGUCCCGCUCUGUCUCUCUAUGGCGACCGGCCAUGGCGGUCAG
Molecule: long non-coding RNA, 1384 nt
Filed under: Cricetulus griseus (Chinese hamster)
Lineage: Eukaryota; Metazoa; Chordata; Mammalia; Rodentia; Cricetidae
Description: lncRNA (ENSCGRG00015039301.1)
Source: RNAcentral